UACGUAGGGUGCGAGCGUUGUCCGGAAUUAUUGGGCGUAAAGAGCUCGUAGGCGGUUUGUCGCGUCGACCGUGAAAACUCGCAGCUCAACUGCGAGCCUGCGGUCGAUACGGGCAGGCUAGAGUUCGGUAGGGGAGACUGGAAUUCCUGGUGUAGCGGUGAAAUGCGCAGAUAUCAGGAGGAACACCGAUGGCGAAGGCAGGUCUCUGGGCCGAUACUGACGCUGAGGAGCGAAAGCGUGGGGAGCGAACAGG
This 253-nucleotide ribosomal RNA is filed under the name uncultured bacterium. RNAcentral describes it as "partial 16S ribosomal RNA". It matches the Rfam family "Bacterial small subunit ribosomal RNA", at positions 524 to 776 of the family's 1533-position model. The record is from RNAcentral.